CAAAUAUUUAUUUCUAAUUUACGUCGUACAAUGCAAUCACUGAUGUAGCUGGGAUUUCAGAAAAACAGGGGAGAGAUAAGGCUUUUAUGGUUUUAUCAGGACUUGAAACGAAGUAUUAAUAAUAUACAUAAGAACUAGGGAUUUUUAAAGGAAUCUAAUAGCACUAGGACAAAGAAGGGAUUUGUGACCACAAAACAAAUUGCAUUCAGAACAAGUAAUUAUCUAUAAUAAAUCUAGAGAAUUUCCACCCACGCUUUUACAAACUGGUUGAAAGCUGACAGAAAGAUAUAUCAAUCCAGGCUUCUGCAUGUUACAAAUAAACGAUGCUUAUUUUGCCAAU
This is a long non-coding RNA of Patella vulgata (common limpet), 340 nucleotides long. RefSeq lists it as uncharacterized. NCBI's taxonomy places the organism in Eukaryota, Metazoa, Mollusca, Gastropoda, Patellidae. The record is from RefSeq and is a predicted model, not a curated record. The transcript is spliced from 3 exons.